GGGGACGUUCUGGAUUCGACAGGGAUAGGUCGAGCUUAGGUUGCAUGUCGAGGUUACGUCUCGUAAACCGUUAUCGCCUAAAUUUAACUGGCAAAGAAAACAAUAAUUUCGCUUUAGCAGCGUAAGCUAGCUAAAGGAUCCUUCCUACUAUCGCCCGUGUAGUGGAUGAAGGGUCUCAAAUGAAGCGGGCUAUACUAUGAUCCACCGUCUGAGGAUGAUAGUUGAAACCAAUCAGACUAGCUACUUAUGAAGCCUGUUGAUAGGCUGACGAGUUAGCGAAAAUGAAAUAUAUCAACUAAACAUGUAGAUAUUUAAGUGACGAUAUCCUUGGACGUGGGUUCGACUCCCACCGUCUCCACCA
RNAcentral lists this transfer-messenger RNA (361 nucleotides) under Cerasibacillus terrae. RNAcentral's name for it is "Standard tmRNA". It matches the Rfam family "transfer-messenger RNA". Rfam says of the family: Bacterial tmRNA, also known as 10Sa RNA or SsrA, is named for its dual tRNA and mRNA-like properties. Its role is to liberate the mRNA from a stalled ribosome. To accomplish this part of the tmRNA is used as a reading frame that ends in a translation stop signal. Lineage: Bacteria; Bacillati; Bacillota; Bacilli; Caryophanales; Bacillaceae. The record is from Rfam by way of RNAcentral.